AGGCCGGAGGUCAACGCCCGACAGCGCUAUGCGCCCUCGGGCGCAAAUGUG
RNAcentral lists this small RNA (51 nucleotides) under uncultured Bradyrhizobium sp. RNAcentral's name for it is "ffh sRNA". It matches the Rfam family "ffh sRNA". Lineage: Bacteria; Pseudomonadati; Pseudomonadota; Alphaproteobacteria; Hyphomicrobiales; Nitrobacteraceae. The record is from RNAcentral.